AUUGAACGCUGGCGGCAGGCCUAACACAUGCAAGUCGAACGAGUGGCGGACGGGUGAGUAAUGUCUGGGAAACUGCCUGAUGGAGGGGGAUAACUACUGGAAACGGUAGCUAAUACCGCAUACCAUCGGAUGUGCCCAGAUUGGAUUAGCUAGUGGGUGGGGUAAAGUCUCACCUAGGCGACGAUCCCUAGCUGGUCGGAGAGGGUGACCAGCCACACUGGGACUGAGACACGGUCCAGACUCCUACGGGAGGCAGCAGUGGGGAAUAUUGCACAAUGGGCGAAAGUCUGAUGCAGCCAUGCCGCGUGUAUGAAGAAGGCCUUCGGGUUGUAAAGUACUUUCGGCGGGGAGGCGUUACCCGCAGAAGAAGCACCGGCUAACUCCGUGCCAGCAGCCGCGGUAAUUC
This 406-nucleotide ribosomal RNA is filed under the name uncultured bacterium. Its description in RNAcentral is "partial 16S ribosomal RNA". It matches the Rfam family "Bacterial small subunit ribosomal RNA", at positions 30 to 526 of the family's 1533-position model. The record is from RNAcentral.